AGCGAGCGCUGGCGGCAGGCUUAACACAUGCAAGUCGAACGGUCCUUCGGGAUAGUGGCGGACGGGUGAGUAACACGUGGGAACGUACCCUUAGGUUCGGAACAACACAGGGAAACUUGUGCUAAUACCGGAUAAGCCCUUCGGGGGAAAGAUUUAUCGCCUUUGGAGCCGCCAGCGUCUGAUUAGGUUGUUGGUGAGGUAAUGACUCACCAAGGCUACGAUCAGUAGCUGGUCUGAGAGGAUGGACAGCCACACUGGGACGGAGACACGGACCAGACUCCUACGGGAGGGAGGAGUGGGGAAUCUUGCGCAAUGGGCGAAAGCCUGACGCAGUCAUGCCGCGUGGAUGAUGAAGGUCUUAGGAUUGUAAAAUCCUUUCACCGGGGACGAUAAUGACGGUACCCGGAGAAGAAGCCCCGGCUAACUUCGUGCCAGCCGCCGCCGUAA
RNAcentral lists this ribosomal RNA (447 nucleotides) under uncultured bacterium. RNAcentral's name for it is "partial 16S ribosomal RNA". It matches the Rfam family "Bacterial small subunit ribosomal RNA", at positions 29 to 523 of the family's 1533-position model. The record is from RNAcentral.